RNAcentral lists this ribosomal RNA (208 nucleotides) under uncultured bacterium. RNAcentral describes it as "partial 16S ribosomal RNA". It matches the Rfam family "Bacterial small subunit ribosomal RNA", at positions 568 to 774 of the family's 1533-position model. The record is from RNAcentral.
GGCGCAGGUGGCGUGGCAAGUCAGAAGUGAAAACCCGGGGCUCAAUCCCGCGGACUGCUUUUGAAACUGUCAUGCUGGAGUCCAGGAGAGGUAAGCGGAAUUCCUAGUGUAGCGGUGAAAUGCGUAGAUAUUAGGAGGAACACCAGUGGCGAAGGCGGCUUACUGGACGGUAACUGACGUUGAGGCUCGAAAGCGUGGGGAGCAAACA